Molecule: ribosomal RNA, 396 nt
Filed under: Triticum aestivum (bread wheat)
Lineage: Eukaryota; Viridiplantae; Streptophyta; Magnoliopsida; Poales; Poaceae
Description: partial small subunit ribosomal RNA
Source: RNAcentral
AAAAGGCAGAUCAUUAAACCUUUGGAUUGUGUUUUUUGCUCUGAAGAUGAAACCGUUCAUCAUCUCCUUUUUGAUUGUGUGGUCGCUAAGUUUGUGUGGGCAAUCAUUAGAGAACAUUUCAAAGUAGAUGUAGGCACGGAUUAUUUGUCUGUUGCCAGAUUUUGGCUCUCAAACAAAAAGAGAUCCUCCCUUAAUGUAGCAUGUGCAGUAACCAUGUGGUGCAUAUGGAAACUUAGAAAUUCCAUUAUCUUUAACAACGCCAUAUGGAUUUCUCUCAAGCAAGUUUUAGGGAAGAUGCUGAGUUUGACCAAGAUCUCGAUACUGGUCGAAACUUUGGGGGGCUUCUUGAGGUACUUAAAGGAAGUGAAGGCGCCUCUAACCAUCAAGAGUGGCUGA